CAGCCUAAUACAUGCAAGUCGAGCGGAGUUAUUCCUUCGGGGAUGACUUAGCUGGCGGACGGGUGAGUAACACGUAGGCGAACCUGCCUGUAAGCACUGGGAUAACUACCGGAAACGGUAGCUAAGACCGGAUACACAACUUGAUCGCAUGGUUGAGUUGGGAAAAGCGGAGCAAUCUGCUACUUACAGAUGGGCCUGCGGCGCAUUAGCUAGUUGGUGGGGUAACGGCUCACCAAGGCGACGAUGCGUAGCCGACCUGAGAGGGUGAACGGCCACACUGGGACUGAGACACGGCCCAGACUCCUACGGGAGGCAGCAGUAGGGAAUCUUCCGCAAUGGACGCAAGUCUGACGGAGCAACGCCGCGUGAGUGAUGAAGGUUUUCGGAUCGUAAAGCUCUGUUGCCAGGGGAAGAACGCUUGGGAGAGUAACUGCUCUCAAGGUGACGGUACCUGAAGAAGAAAGCCCCGGGUUAACUACGU
RNAcentral lists this ribosomal RNA (481 nucleotides) under uncultured bacterium. Its description in RNAcentral is "bacterial SSU rRNA". It matches the Rfam family "Bacterial small subunit ribosomal RNA", at positions 44 to 506 of the family's 1533-position model. The record is from RNAcentral.